UUUUGGUAUUUUAUAUGUUUCCAUGAAUUUAUCCAUUUCUUCCAGGUUGUCCCUUUUGUUGCCAUGUAGUUUUAUAUAAUAUCCUCUAAUAAUUCUUUGUAUUACUUCUCUCUCAUUUGUGAUUUUACUAAGUCUAGCUAAGAGUUUAUCAAUUUUAUCAAUCUUUUCAAAGACAAGCUACAAGUUUUAUUGAUCUGUUGUGGUUUUUAGUUUCCAUAUAAUUUAUUUCUGCUGUAAUCCUUAUUAUUUCCCUUCUUUGGCUGGCUUUAGGCUUUAUUUGUUAUUCUUUUUGAGCUCCUUUAGGUGUAAGAUGAGGUUGUCUGAUAUUUUUCUUGCUUCUAAUGCAGGCCUGAAGUGCUAUAUACAUCUGUCUUAAGACCAUUUUGCUCCAUCACAAAGAUUUUGGACUGUUGUGAUUUCAUUUUCAUUUGUUUACAUGCAUGUAUUUUUUUUCUUUGAUUUCCUUGUUGACCAAUUCAUUGUUUAGUGGCAUGCUGCCUAAUCUUCAUGCAUUUGUGGUCUUACCAUUUUUUUUCUUGUGUUUCAUUUUGUGUUUCAUAGAAACAUAUGAAACAUGAAAAUAUGUACAGGGGAUACCUGGGUGGUUCAGCGGUUGAAUGUUUGCCUUCAGCUCAGGACACGAUCCUGGGGUCUGGGAUCAAGCCCUCCAUUAGGCUCCUUGUGGGGAACCUGCUUCUCCCUCUGCUAUGUCUCUGCCUCUCUCUCUGUCUGUGUCUCUCAUUAAUAGAUAAAUCUUUUUUAAAAAGAAAAUAUGUAUGGUAUGAUCGCAGUCAUUUUGUUCUGCUGAGAUCUGAUUUGUGAACUAGUAUGUGAUCUAUUCUGGAGAAUGUUCCAUGUUCACUCAAAAAGAAUCUGUAUUCUGCUGCUUUAGAGUGAAAUGUUCUGAAUAUAUAUGGUAAGUCUAUUUGGUAGACAUUCAAAACCAUUGUUUCCUUAUUGAUUUUCUUCACAGAUAUCUGUUCAUUGAUGUAAGUGUGGUGUUUAGGUGCCCUACUAUUAUUGUAUUAUUAUCAGUGAGUUCUGUUAAACUUGUUAUUGUUUUAUUUUUUUAAGGAUUUUAUUUAUUUAUUUAUUUAUCCAUGAGAGACACAGAGAGAGAGGCAGAGACACAGGCAAAGGGAGAGGGAGAAGCAGGUUCCCCCCAGGGAGACUGACAUGGGACCCCAGGAUCACACCCCAAGCAGAAGGCAGAGCCCAACCGUUGAGCCAUCCAGGCAUUCCGUUAUUAAUUGUUUUAUAUAUUUGGGUCCUCCAGUUUGGGAGCAUAAAUAUUUGCAAAUGUUAGAUCUUCUUGUUGAAUAGAUCACUUUAUUAUGAUAUAGUACCUUUCUUCACCUCUUGUUAGAGUCUUUGGAUUAAAAUCUACUCUAUUGAACAUAAGUAUUGCUAUUCUGUCUUUCUUUUGAUGUGUUAUUGCAUGGUAAAUGUUUUUCCACCUCUUU
RNAcentral lists this long non-coding RNA (1463 nucleotides) under Canis lupus familiaris (dog). Its description in RNAcentral is "lncRNA (ENSCAFG00845018920.1)". Lineage: Eukaryota; Metazoa; Chordata; Mammalia; Carnivora; Canidae. The record is from RNAcentral.